GAUGAACGCUGGCGGCGUGCCUAAUACAUGCAAGUCGAGCGAACAGAUAAGGAGCUUGCUCCUUUGACGUUAGCGGCGGACGGGUGAGUAACACGUGGAUAACCUACCUAUAAGACUGGGAUAACUUCGGGAAACCGGAGCUAAUACCGGAUAACAUAUUGAACCGCAUGGUUCAAUAGUGAAAGGCGGCUUUGCUGUCACUUAUAGAUGGAUCCGCGCCGUAUUAGCUAGUUGGUAAGGUAACGGCUUACCAAGGCAACGAUACGUAGCUGACCUGAGAGGAUGAUCAGCCACACUGGAACUGAGACACGGUCCAGACUCCUACGGGAGGCAGCAGUAGGGAAUCUUCCGCAAUGGGCGAAAGCCUGACGGAGCAACGCCGCGUGAGUGAUGAAGGUCUUCGGAUCGUAAAACUCUGUUAUCAGGGAAGAACAAAUGUGUAAGUAACUGUGCACAUCUUGACGGUACCUGAUCAGAAAGCCACGGCUAACUACGUG
Molecule: ribosomal RNA, 497 nt
Filed under: uncultured bacterium
Lineage: Bacteria
Description: partial 16S ribosomal RNA
Rfam family: Bacterial small subunit ribosomal RNA
Source: RNAcentral